UGGGGAAUAUUGCACAAUGGGCGAAAGCCUGAUGCAGCGACGCCGCGUGCGGGAUGAAGGCCUUCGGGUUGUGAACCGCUUUUGAUUGGGAGCAAGCGAGAGUGAGUGUACCUUUCGAAUAAGCACCGGCUAACUACGUGCCAGCAGCCGCGGUAAUACGUAGGGUGCAAGCGUUAUCCGGAAUUAUUGGGCGUAAAGAGCUCGUAGGCGGUUUGUCGCGUCUGGUGUGAAAGUCCAUCGCUUAACGGUGGAUCUGCGCCGGGUACGGGCAGGCUAGAGUGCGACAGGGGAGACUGGAAUUCCCGGUGUAACGGUGGAAUGUGUAGAUAUCGGGAAGAACACCAAUGGCGAAGGCAGGUCUCUGGGUCGUCACUGACGCUGAGGAGCGAAAGCGUGGGGAGCGAACAGGAUUAGAUACCCUGGUAGUCCACGCCGUAAAACGGUGGAUGCUGGAUGUGGGGC
This 462-nucleotide ribosomal RNA is filed under the name uncultured bacterium. RNAcentral describes it as "partial 16S ribosomal RNA". It matches the Rfam family "Bacterial small subunit ribosomal RNA", at positions 355 to 828 of the family's 1533-position model. The record is from RNAcentral.